AUUGAACGCUGGCGGCAGGCCUAACACAUGCAAGUCGAACGGCAGCACAGAAGAGCUUGCUCUUUGGGUGGCGAGUGGCGGACGGGUGAGUAAUGUCUGGGAAACUGCCCGACGGAGGGGGAUAACUACUGGAAACGGUAGCUAAUACCGCAUAACGUCGCGAGACCAAAGUGGGGGACCUUCGGGCCUCACACCAUCGGAUGUGCCCAGAUGGGAUUAGCUAGUAGGUGGGGUAAUGGCUCACCUAGGCGACGAUCCCUAGCUGGUCUGAGAGGAUGACCAGCCACACUGGAACUGAGACACGGUCCAGACUCCUACGGGAGGCAGCAGUGGGGAAUAUUGCACAAUGGGCGCAAGCCUGAUGCAGCCAUGCCGCGUGUAUGAAGAAGGCAUUCGGGUUGUAAAGUACUUUCAGCGGGGAGGAAGGCGGUGAGGUUAAUAACCUCGCCGAUUGACGUUACCCGCAGAAGAAGCACCGGCUAACUCCGUGCCAGCAGCCGCAGUAA
Molecule: ribosomal RNA, 506 nt
Filed under: uncultured bacterium
Lineage: Bacteria
Description: partial 16S ribosomal RNA
Rfam family: Bacterial small subunit ribosomal RNA
Source: RNAcentral